This 1134-nucleotide long non-coding RNA is filed under the name Olea europaea subsp. europaea. The record is from RNAcentral. Lineage: Eukaryota; Viridiplantae; Streptophyta; Magnoliopsida; Lamiales; Oleaceae.
CGAAGACUUGAUCGAGAACGCUNCGCAUAAAUAAAGGUUGAUUCCCACAACAAGAAUCAGACUGGCCAUUCAUAGUAGAAAUCCAAUUAUAUACAUAGCAUUAGAAGUCAACUUUUUGACCAACAACGAGAGAGACAGAAACAACCAUUUUAUUUGAUAUAAUAGACAUUAAAAACUAAGCCAACGUACAUAUAACCAUAACACUUAAAUGCUCAGGCCACUAUUUACUAGUUAAACAUAGCUUUUACUUGAGGAUUUACAGAGAGUAACACAACGUCAACAUAUAUAUAUUUUUUGGGUACUGAACCAUAGACAUCGUCAUAUUCACUGAUAAUGAUUCAAGUUAAAGAUUAGGUCAUAGAUUACAUUAAUAGCAAACAAAGUUCAUUCAUAUAAGAUAAGCUAAUUCAGGAAAUGAGAAAUCCAAGCACCCAACCCUAAACUUAUGUCCCAUUUAAAAAUUCCCAGAUCUAUGAAAAAUUUAUAUUGAGCUCUUGUUUGAUUCCCUUUUUGGGGGAAAUAAUGUAUUUUGAAUAGUAAAUUGAUGGUAAAUGCAGUUAAAAAUUAAGAAAAUUUUUUGAAUUUGCGUUUAAUUAUUUUAUUAAAGACUGGUUGAAAAUAAAUUUUAAAAAAUGAAUUUUUAAAAGAAUGAGAAUCAAAUAAGGCUAAAAUGGACAAUUAGAUCUAGAAAAGGAAUUACGAUUGACCAAAAUUUUAAAUUAACGGUUGAAGUCUUCACAUAAAAAAAAAAAAAAAAAAAGAGAGGUAGAAAUAGGAACACGGGAACUUAGAAAUAGGGAAAAAUAAAUAAAUAAAAAAAUUCAUGUAACCGAGUCUUAAAAUGGAAAGACUACAAUCACCCCCAAGAGACGAGCAAAGAAGGAAGUUAGUAGCACCUGCGUCGAUCCAUCUACAUCAACAUUGUUUUGACCAUCUUUCUCCUUUAAAGUAUUUAAUACUCACAAAGAUAAUUUAGAUGUGAGUUAUUACUUUUGGCUUUUAUUGGAAACAAAAAUGGAUGGAAUAAUAUUUUUUUAAAAAAAUGAGUAAUUAAAAAAGAAAGAAAUAUUUUUAAUUUAAGUAUAAUAUUAUUUUAUAAAAGAUUUUUUGAUUGAAAAUAAAAGAGAAAAAAAU